UACGUAGGGAGCGAGCGUUGUCCGGAAUCAUUGGGCGUAAAGCGCGCGUAGGCGGCCCGAUAAGUCCGUUGUGAAAGUCAAAGGCUCAACCUUUGAAUGCCGAUGGAUACUGUCGGGCUAGAGUCCGGAAGAGGCGAGUGGAAUUCCUGGUGUAGCGGUGGAAUGCGCAGAUAUCAGGAGGAACACCAAUAGCGAAGGCAGCUCGCUGGGACGGUACUGACGCUAAGGCGCGAAAGCGUGGGGAGCGGACAGG
RNAcentral lists this ribosomal RNA (253 nucleotides) under uncultured bacterium. RNAcentral's name for it is "partial 16S ribosomal RNA". It matches the Rfam family "Bacterial small subunit ribosomal RNA", at positions 524 to 776 of the family's 1533-position model. The record is from RNAcentral.